GGCGUUCAAAGGAGUCUCGAGCCAAUGCCUCGGUGGGGCAAUAUUCCAGCAGCAACUUUCCAAUCUCGAUGUGUUUCGUCCGAGAAUGGAAGCGUGGAUUGGCGGCUAGUGCAAGAGCACUUUGGUUGUCCGAGAACAGCACCAUAGGGCCGGUGCAAGCAAGAAUCUGGGGCAGGUCACGGCAGAACUGGGUCAACCAAAUCGCUUCUUUGUUAGGGCAAUGUACUCCUGCCUCUGUCGACACCAGCGGCCGGCGCUUACUGCUCCAGGACACAGCAGCCCCAUGGAGCAAGAACGCAUACCCGGAGGUAGAGCGCCUUGAGUCCUGGUCGCCCGCCCAGUCCGCAUCCGAGUAUCCAUGAAGUUCCUGUGACACAGCAGCGCUAUAGUGAAGCUGCAAAUGCAAGGUACCUCGAACGUAGCGGAAAAUCUGCUUCACAGCUUGCCAAUGUGCAGGUCCGGGGUUCUCGAGGAACUGGGAGACCAUCCCAACAGCAUAGGCGAGAUCUGGUCGUGUUCCCAGCAUCAAAUAAACAAGACUUCCCACAGCUUGACGAUAUGGCACCGUGGACAUGUACUCGCGUUCUUCCUCUGUGACAGGGGCCAUGUCACGGCUGAGUUUGUGAUUGACCUCAAGAGGUGUGGCCACGGGAGAGCAGUCCAGCAUAUUGAAGCGUUCCAAGAUCUCCCUUGCAUAAUGAGCUUGUGUCAAACUCAAGGUGCGUGCUCCUCGACUGUGUAAAAUUUGGAUGCCAAGGAAAUGGCAAAGCUCGCCCAGGCCAGACAUCUCAAAUUCUUCACUCAGCUUCUUUUUCAUCUCGUCCAGCAGGUGGCGGGUUUUUGCACCGAGAAUGCAGUCGUCAACGUACACAGCAACCAGGAGAAAAUCGUCACCACACUUGUACAGGUACACGUUUCCUUCCACUGCAAGAGGAACACACCCCAGGCUCUUGAAGAACACAUCAAUGCGUUCAAACCAAACCCUCGGGGAUUGUUUAAGCCCAUACAGGGCGCGAUUCAUCUUGCAAAUAAGAUGUUCCUCACCAGGUUUGACGAAUCCAGGUGGUUGCGUGAUGUAGACCUCCUCGUUCAACUUGCUAUGCAGGAAAGCAGUGCGAAUGUCCAACUGGUGCAGUUCCAGGUUGUACUUGGCAGCCAGUGCAAGGAUCACUCGCGCAGAGGUCAACUUCACAACUGGUGAGUACGUCUCCAUGUAUUCCAAACCUGGAAUCUGGCUGAAUCCCCGUGCGACAAACCUGGCCUUGAACUUUGCUACAGUUCCAUCAGGUUUGUACUUGACUGUGUAAAUCCAUUUCGUCACAAGGUGAGCACCUUCAGGUAAAGUUGUCUUUGUCAUUGUAUUGUUUCGCUCAUGCAAAUGCAUUUCAGCAUUCAUGGCAUGAGGUCCAGCUAAUGCUUUGUCAACAUUCGCUGGAAUGGGGAUUCGCUUUGGAUUAGCAGCCACGAAGUUAGUCUGGUGUGUUCCUUUCUUUUUAAUUUUUCCAAAACUAAAGAAGGGACAAGAUUGCUCAGCUUCCAGUUGCAGCCGCAAUGGUACGGGAACUCGAGCAGAGCGCCAAGGUUCAGGACGUGCUGGAGGGUGGAUCACAGGUGGUGGAACAAGUGGAGAGUCUGGGAGAGCUCCCACUGAAGUUGGCAACCUGCUUCCAGCUCCCACUGAAGGUGAUGAUCCACGUCCAGCUCCCACUGAAGAUGAGCCGAGGAAGAACUCAGGAGCAGCUUGAAAUUCCUCGUCGCCCUUGAAGUAAGUGUUCAUCAGCUCUUCAGAGAAGCUAGGUGUUCUCACUGGAGGAGCUUCUGGCAGAGGUGUAGCUGGAGGGUGUGGUGGCAGUGCUGGAGGAACCACCACGUUACCACCAGCAGGAGCAAGAGGCAGCAACGGGACUUGAGAAGGAGCUGUAGUCUCGUGAAUUGUGUCCACCAGCUGGAGUUCCAUGAAAGUAGGAGCAGGAACUUCAGCGCGAUCCUUGUACAGCUUGCUCUCAUCAAAGAGCACGUCCAUCUUUGAGAGAAUAAAGGUGAUAUCCUUUCAUGCCUUCCAAAUAUCUGAGGAAAAUGGAUGGCUCAGCCUUUGACUCCAGCUUUCGGUGUUGCUUUUGUGGAACGUGUGCGUAGGCAAAACAGCCAAAAAUGCGGAGAUGAUCGUAACCCAAGUGCGUGACUAGUCCAAAGUUCAUAAGGAGUAGUCUUCUCAGGCAGGGCACGUGCUGGCAACCAGUUUCGAACAUAAACAGCCGUGUUAACUGCCUCUCCCCAGAAAGCAGCCGGCAUUCCCGCGUGAAGCAGCAUACAGCAUGCAGCUUCUAUGAUGGUGCGAUUCACCCUCUCGGCAGCACCAUUCUGGGC
This 2367-nucleotide long non-coding RNA is filed under the name Selaginella moellendorffii. Its description in RNAcentral is "long non-coding RNA (SMOE_LNC001744)". The record is from RNAcentral. Lineage: Eukaryota; Viridiplantae; Streptophyta; Lycopodiopsida; Selaginellales; Selaginellaceae.